This is a non-coding RNA of Podarcis lilfordi (Lilford's wall lizard), 4462 nucleotides long. The record is from the annotation of a GenBank genome assembly. NCBI's taxonomy places the organism in Eukaryota, Metazoa, Chordata, Lepidosauria, Squamata, Lacertidae.
ACCAAGUAUUAAGAUACUCAAAUCUCUGGGCACAUAGAUGAAGACCCUGGUCAAACAGUUGGGAAUAGCAGCUUUGGGGCUUGAUUUAGACUGAGGAAAUGUCACAGGACUACAGCCAGGAUUGCCCCUUCAAUGCAUUUUAAAGAGUAAAGGUCAGUGUCUUUCCAGUUUGGCUACCAGGAUAGUUGUUCACAGAAAAAAUAAUUCCUCAAUGUCUGCUUGAAGGCCACAUAGUACCGAAAAAGAAAUAGACUUUAUUAAGUCAUCUGUUUUACAGGUAUAGUCCUCUGUAACUUUGUGCACUCAUUGGCCAGAGUUGAUACCAUUUCUGGUGGGUAAUGCUUGUCUAUAGCCAAUGUGGGUCUCUGACUGCUAUAUCCUGAUAAUCCCAGACACCAGAUCACCUAUGCAAAUGGAUAAAAUAGCAUGUCCUGGAGAAUUCUGGGCUGAACCCGUCUCCUUAAUGUGCUAGCUUAGUGAGCAAAUGCAUUUGUUUCCUUGGAAUAGAAGAAGAAGAUUUGGAUUUGAUAAGCUGCUUUAUCACUACCCCCUAAGGAGUUUCAAAGCAGCUAACAAUCUCCUUUUCCCUUCCUCCCCCACAACAAACACUCUGUGAGGUGAGUGAGGCUGAGCGACUUCAAAGAAGUGUGACUAGCCCAAGAUCACCCAGCAGCUGCAUGUGGAGGAGCAGGGAAUCAAACCCGGUUCACCAGAUUACGAGUCCACUGCUCUUAACCACUACACCACACUGGCUCAAAUAUGCCACACACUGUCAGGUGGCAGAGGAUCCCACCCCCACAGCAGGUUGCCAGGAACGGAUAAGACAAGGGAAAGUUCUUACCAACUGCUUUUUAUUCAAUAUUCACAGAGAGAUGCUUGGAAAUGCAACCUCUUAGAAUAAUGGCAUUACCCCGAGUGGGUCUCCACCCCAUCCCCCUCUCCCUUCAUGCAUCAUCACUAUGGGUGCUGAGAAGUGCCCUCUGCCUCUGAGCUCUUUUCUCUCCUACUUUCAAUGCUCACCGGGUUCUAGGAGAGAGGGGCCUGGAAUGCUUUUGAAAGACAUUGUGUCCAUCAGCUGUGGCCCCUCUGGUAGGUCUUCUUCCUCCUCUCCCAUUAUUUCCCAGCUUUUCCCCUCAUCUGCCUCUGAGCUGUAAUCUCCCUCAAACCCCUGUUGUAAUUCUGAACUGUCUCCUUCUCUGGAAGGGUCAGGUUGGGGAGGCAGUCUCCACCAUUCCUCCUCUGCCCAGUCCCUGACACACACUACCCAAAAAUUGUACAGGAAAGUAUUCAGCAUGGAAUUCUGCAAAAGCUAUAAAUGAACACCAGGCGCAUUCAAGUAACGCAAGCCAGGAUCCAAAGGUGUAUUUUAGGCUCCCUGGCAAAUUUGAGAACAUUUAAAUCAGGGGUCAGCAAACUUUUUCAGCAGGGGGCCGGUCCACCAUCCCUCAUACCUUGUGGGGGGGCGGGCUAUUUUUUUUUGGGGGGGGUGAACGAAUUCCUAUGCUCCACAAUAACCCAGAGAUGCAUCUUAAAUAAAAGCACACAUUCUACUCAUGUAAAAACACCAGGCAGGCCCCACAAAUAACCCAGAGAUGCAUUUUAAAUAAAAGGACACAUUCUACUCAUGUGAAAACACACUGAUUCCCGGACCGUCUGUGGGCCGGAUUGAGAAGGCUAUUGGGCCAGAUCCGGCCCCUGGACCUUAGCUUGCCUACCUAUGAUUUAAGCAAACAAACAGCUGAGUGUAGUGUCAUAUCACAAACAGUUUCUCUCCCCACGCCCCCAGUUUCACAAAGAACAAUAUGACAUUGUGGGGUGAUACACUCUCUGAAAGAAAUGAAAUGUAUUUAGGAAGGGAAGAAUGAAGACAAUCGAAAGCUUGCUCAAGUUCGUGAAUUUACAGUAGUUCCGCAGUUCUUUGAAUCCUGCCUAAGGAGUGUGGAUCAUUCAUAAAAUACAAUUUUGUAAGGUAAUUUGGGAGAAAGGUUCUUGUUAAACUAAGUACUCGUUAUAUCAUGUUUUUGAAGAAUGAUCAUACAGUGCUCAAAAACUCCUAUAUUUUGACAAUUUUGUAGUUAAUUGCACUUGCUGCUAGCAAACGGCGACCUUUAGCUGACAUAUUAAUACUCUCAGUAAUCAGCUAAAGGUCACAUCUUGUUUAGAGCCGCCGCUUUUUCCUUGCCACAUACUCCAAACACCAGGAAAAUGUCUUCUGUGCCAAUUAGAGGUGUUAAUGUGGCAGUCAGAGAUCACCAACUCUUCCAUGAAUAAGCUGGUUCAGUGGUUUAAUCCCAGCAGUAGGAAGAGCUAUGAUGAAAAUCAGAUCCUCCAAAAGCCUGUCUCAAAAACACUAAUAGGGUGACGUAAAUUGUUACCAAUUGGCCUAAGAUUUAAUGGGAUUUUUUUUUUAAUGACAGAGCUGCUUCUGUGAAAUCAUUUACUUGUGAGUAGCAGGACUGCCAGCUAAUUAAAGAGCUGUAGCUAAUUUAUCAUCUCCUUAAACAUUAAUCCAUGCUUAAAUUUUUAAUAAAUUUUAAUAUUACCAAAACUCCAGUAUAAGGGCAUUUCUGAAGGAAGUGAAAGAUAAUCAAUAAACCUUUUAUUUGGUUAAUCUACUGAUUAUAUUAGAUUCACUAGAGCGGGCAAUACGGAGCAGUACCAACUGAGGUAAUGAUCCUGCGAUGCAAUGAUUCAAGCAUGUAUUAGGUUUAUGUUAUUGAACCAUGUGAUUCCAGAUGAAUUUGGUGCACAGAAUUAGAGACUUGUAUUGCAUUUCGUGUAGUGCAGUUUAUUUGUACUGGAUGUCUCUAUACCAGACAUAUGCAGAUAUAGAGAAGUCUGGGAGCCACAUAUGACUACAUAAUGCUUGUGCAUGUGUUUCUGCAUGGGGAUGUAUAUGGGAUAACAUCCUAGGCCCCUUUAAAAUAUGGUUUUUUUGUGAGGAGGGGCUAUUGGGUUGUUGUUUUUAUUUUGAUUAUAUCUUUUCUGGUUUUAUAAUUUGAUUUUGUUCUGUGAACCACCCUGAGACCCCAGGUAUAGGGCCGUAUAUAAAUUCAAUAAAUACUACUACUACAACAACAACAACAACAACAACAAAAAUGAGGCAAGGCAUUAUGUACCAGAUUCCAAUCCAUGGACUGGGGUGAGAGACUGACAUUUCUCUCUCUCUCUCUCUCUCUCUCUCUCUCUCUCUCACACACACACACACACACACACACACACACCACCUUCAUUAUACACCUUUAGGCACCAGGCAAAAACAUUCCUUUUUAACCAGGACUUUGGUUGAUCUUAUUGCCAUCCAACACCAUUUUAGAAUGUAGCUUUUGGGGGGGUGGGUUACCGGGUUACUGUUUUUGGUUUGAGUUUAUAUGCUGUGGUCUUGUUGUGAACAGCCCUGAGACCUCCGGGUAUAGGGUGGUGUAUAAGUUGAAUUAUUAUUGUUAUUAUUAACAACAACAACAACAAACAAACAACAUCACUUUAUUACGGUCAUAGAUGUGUGUGAAUCAGAACAUUCAUGUGGUACAACUUUUACUGGACUCUUAUAAUUUUAGAUGGCAGGCAGGGUUUGCAUAUUUGAAUGCACACAAAACACAUGAACAUUAUAUCUCAGGGUUAACUAUUCUACUUUAUCCACCUCUCAGACGUGUUGCUUUGUUUCUUGAAGGAGCAUUGGGAGGGGGAGUUGGAUGUAUUUGAACGCUGACAGCCUGUAACGAUACAGCCCAGGGGAAGUGGCACCAUGUGCGAUUUCUGCUCUUAGCGCUCCCAACUAUUGCUUAAGCUGACCCAUCCCUGCACCAGAAGAAAAUGGUUUGCACCACAGGCCAGUAGCAAGGGCCUGAUUCAUUUAUAAUGGCAAACAGUGUGGUUGCUGUAAAAAAUGUGCGAGGAGACACUUCUGUGGUUGUUGGCAUCCAUCUUUAUCGGAAUACAGUGGAAGAGUACACCUUCAAGAAUAAAGUCAAACCACUGGGAAGUUGCAGUGCCUGCUGUGGCUGUGGAGACCAAUAUGGGAGAGACAUGUUUUAUUGCAGAGGCAGGGGUCAAAGGAAAGCAUCCGGUUUUGCUGCUACAGGUACACCAUGGUGUUUCUUCCUUCUGUGCUCCUCCCAGUGGUCAUUCCUCCCCUGGCCACUACUGUAGAUACACAAUCUUACUGUCUGUCUCCAGGCACUGUGGUUAUCUCAAGGGAUGCCCAUAUGGUUGCUUGGCUUCGCAUCUUGUUUGCCAACAUCUUUGUAACACAGAGUUGGUCUGCCAAUGGGCCUGUUGCCUGAAGCCAACUCUCCAUAGAGCACGUCCUUGGGGAUCCUGCCAGCCUUCAUUCUGUAUGCAUGACCAAGCCAGGAUAGACGUCGCUGAGACAGGAGUGAAAACAUGCUGGAGAUGUGGGGUUGGGAGAACACAUUUUUGUUUGAGACUCUGUCCUGCCAUGUGAUGCCCAAAAUCUUCCUGA